RNAcentral lists this ribosomal RNA (440 nucleotides) under uncultured bacterium. RNAcentral's name for it is "partial 16S ribosomal RNA". It matches the Rfam family "Bacterial small subunit ribosomal RNA", at positions 338 to 795 of the family's 1533-position model. The record is from RNAcentral.
ACUACGGGGGGCAGCAGUAGGGAAUAUUGCUCAAUGGGGGAAACCCUGAAGCAGCAACGCCGCGUGGAGGAUGAAGGUUUUCGGAUGGUAAACUCCUUUUGUUAGAGAAGAUAAUGACGGUAUCUAACGAAUAAGCACCGGCUAACUCCGUGCCAGCAGCCGCGGUAAUACGGAGGGUGCAAGCGUUACUCGGAAUCACUGGGCGUAAAGAGCGCGUAGGCGGGAUAGCAAGUCAGAUGUGAAAUCCUAUGGCUUAACCAUAGAACUGCAUUUGAAACUGUUAUUCUAGAGUAUGGGAGAGGUAGGUGGAAUUCUUGGUGUAGGGGUAAAAUCCGUAGAGAUCAAGAGGAAUACUCAUUGCGAAGGCGACCUGCUAGAACAUAACUGACGCUGAUGCGCGAAAGCGUGGGGAGCAAACAGGAUUAGAUACCCGUGUAGUC